Molecule: long non-coding RNA, 658 nt
Organism: Gymnogyps californianus (California condor)
Lineage: Eukaryota; Metazoa; Chordata; Aves; Accipitriformes; Cathartidae
Exons: 3
Source: RefSeq, a predicted model, not a curated record
GCUGCAGGCUUUGAAAGAGGAAAAGUCUUGUUUAUCCACUGGGUAAAGCUACCAGAGGGCAGCAAACAGCCCUGGCAGUGAGAUGCCACAUUUCCAGUCCCUUGGAAAAAGAAGCUGCAUGUGCGUCUCACCUGUGCCUGAGGGUUUGGCUCCAGAGCUGGUCCAGACGGUAUGCCACUAUCGUUCCUCCUAAUUACUUCGGUUCAGGGGAUGGAGCUAAGGUGCAGAAACUUUGCUAAAAAUGAAGCUGCAGAUGAUCAGCAGUCACUACCAUCAUCCCUGGAGAAGGGUGAAGUGCUCCGCUUUCAAUCAGCAGCUCUCCAGCUGGUGACAACUCGAAGCUGGAGCUUCAGCCUCUGCUUGGGUUUCAUGUAGAGCUACAAGUUAUAGGUGACCCUGCUCACAGCACUGCAGAGUCUCAAUGACACCCGAAGAAUCAUUUCUCACAAUCCUUCUUUCCUAUUGAACAUCGUCCCUGAAAUGAAAACAAGCAAGACUAACCAGUGCAGAAUGUUUCCAGCAAUUUAACACAACUGUUGUAAAAAUGAGUGUAUCUAUUUCAAUAAAUAUGAUAUAGCUCAACCAUUGUAUUUUCCUUACAUGGAUACAGUAUAGAAUUGCAUGUUCUCAGCAGCCACAUAAAGCUCAGUGACAUUUG